GAUGAAGAACGUAGCGAAAUGCGAUAAGUAAUGUGAAUUGCAGAAUUCCGUGAAUCAUCGAAUCUUUGAACGCAUAUUGCGCCCUCUGGCAUUCCGGAGGGCAUGCCUGUCCGAGCGUCAUUGCUGCCCUCAAGCACGGCUUGUGUGUUGGGCCUCCGUCCUCCUCCCGGGGGACGGGCCCGAAAGGCAGCGGCGGCACCGCGUCCGGUCCUCGAGCGUAUGGGGCUUCGUCACCCGCUCUUGUAGGCCCGGCCGGCGCUUGCCGACACAUCAAUCUUUUUUCCAGGUUGACCUCGGAUCAGGUAGGGAUACCCGCUGAACUUAAGCAUAUCAAUAAGCGGAGGA
RNAcentral lists this unclassified non-coding RNA (345 nucleotides) under soil metagenome. Its description in RNAcentral is "partial contains 5.8S ribosomal RNA, internal transcribed spacer 2, and large subunit ribosomal RNA". The stretch from base 1 to 120 matches the Rfam family "5.8S ribosomal RNA", at positions 35 to 154 of the family's 154-position model. The record is from RNAcentral.